Molecule: ribosomal RNA, 494 nt
Filed under: uncultured bacterium
Lineage: Bacteria
Description: partial 16S ribosomal RNA
Rfam family: Bacterial small subunit ribosomal RNA
Source: RNAcentral
GACGAACGCUGGCGGCGCGCUUAACACAUGCCUGUCGAACGGAAAGGCCUGCUUUCCCUUGUGGAUUGCGGGUACUCGAGUGGCGAACGGGUGAGUAACACGUGAGUGAUCUGCCCCCAACUUGGGUAUAAGCCUGGGAAACUGGGUCUAAUUCCCGAUAGGACUGCAGGGUGGUGCCUGUGGUGGAAAACGAUUUUCUAGUGGUUGGGGAUGAGCUCGCGGCCUAUCAGCUUGUUGGUGGGGUAAUGGCCUACCAAGGCGGCGACGGGUAGCCGGCCUGAGAGGGUGGACGGCCACAUUGGGACUGAGAUACGGCCCAGACUCCUACGGGAGGCAGCAGUGGGGAAUAUUGCACAAUGGGCGGAAGCCUGAUGCAGCGACGCCGCGUGGGGGAUGACGGCCUUCGGGUUGUAAACUCCUUUCGGCCGCGAGGAAGCCACCUGGUUGGAAGGGUGGUGACGGUAGUGGUAGAAGAAGCACCGGCUAACUACGUG